RNAcentral lists this ribosomal RNA (800 nucleotides) under uncultured bacterium. RNAcentral's name for it is "bacterial SSU rRNA". It matches the Rfam family "Bacterial small subunit ribosomal RNA", at positions 8 to 820 of the family's 1533-position model. The record is from RNAcentral.
AGAGUUUGAUCAUGGCUCAGGACGAACGCUGGCGGCGUGCUUAACACAUGCAAGUCGAACGGAAAGGCCCUGCUUUUGUGGGGUGCUCGAGUGGCGAACGGGUGAGUAACACGUGAGUAACCUGCCCUUGACUUUGGGAUAACUUCAGGAAACUGGGGCUAAUACCGGAUAGGAGCUCCUGCUGCAUGGUGGGGGUUGGAAAGUUUCGGCGGUUGGGGAUGGACUCGCGGCUUAUCAGCUUGUUGGUGGGGUAGUGGCUUACCAAGGCUUUGACGGGUAGCCGGCCUGAGAGGGUGACCGGCCACAUUGGGACUGAGAUACGGCCCAGACUCCUACGGGAGGCAGCAGUGGGGAAUAUUGCACAAUGGGCGGAAGCCUGAUGCAGCAACGCCGCGUGCGGGAUGACGGCCUUCGGGUUGUAAACCGCUUUCGCCUGUGACGAAGCGUGAGUGACGGUAAUGGGUAAAGAAGCACCGGCUAACUACGUGCCAGCAGCCGCGGUGAUACGUAGGGUGCGAGCGUUGUCCGGAUUUAUUGGGCGUAAAGGGCUCGUAGGUGGUUGAUCGCGUCGGAAGUGUAAUCUUGGGGCUUAACCCCGAGCGUGCUUUCGAUACGGGUUGACUUGAGGAAGGUAGGGGAGAAUGGAAUUCCUGGUGGAGCGGUGGAAUGCGCAGAUAUCAGGAGGAACACCAGUGGCGAAGGCGGUUCUCUGGGCCUUUCCUGACGCUGAGGAGCGAAAGCGUGGGAGCGAACAGGCUUAGAUACCCUGGUAGUCCACGCUGUAAACGGUGGGUACUAGG